This 392-nucleotide long non-coding RNA is filed under the name Homo sapiens (human). Its description in RNAcentral is "HSALNT0160275". The record is from RNAcentral. Lineage: Eukaryota; Metazoa; Chordata; Mammalia; Primates; Hominidae.
AUUUUAAAAACAUGCACCCUGACAGAAAAGACAUCUGAAAAACAAAACAAGCAAAUUAAUCGUCCACUUUCAUGUCUGCAAAAGAUGUCUCAAGAACCAGAACUGAAUAAGGAGUGUGAUAGAGAGGAUGUAUCUGUAUAUUCAGGACUUCCUUGUGUGCAAAAUGAUGAAGAAAUGUGGACCAAACAAGGCAAAUUAGAGUGGAAAAAUAACUUAAAACUCAUCACAAAUGAGUUAAAGCAGAGCUGUGGUGAAACUUGUGAAAAAUACAAAAUUACUGCUUCUCCUGGGGAAGAGUCACUACAUGAUAACUCUAAAGGAGGCACAAACUUAAAGGAAAUACCUUCUUCUUUGACAAAUAAUAUACUUGAUUGCGAUGAAAAAGAUUCUCC